GGCAUAACUUUAGAAGAGGAAGCAGUUAGCAGAGAAUUGGGAGAAACCAGUGCACGUGAGAUUUGCCUAGCAGAGGAAUUUUUGGGGAUUUUGAUCGGGACGAUUUAGAGCAACCUUCGAUCCAAAGGUGAUGCUAGUGAGUGAAGGAUUAGCUGUCGCGAGUUGAGUCGGUUGUCGCUCUGAUACGUAGCACUCGGGGGGAUAAAACGAUUGUUUUUAUUAUUGUUUUAAUUGCUGAAUUUUAUUUAGUUUUGAUUUAAAUUGUAACUUAAAGUUACCGUGCAAAGAUGCUACGACUUGAUUUAAAUAUUUAGGAAGUUUGAUGA
Long non-coding RNA from Vicia villosa (hairy vetch), 326 nucleotides. RefSeq lists it as uncharacterized. Lineage: Eukaryota; Viridiplantae; Streptophyta; Magnoliopsida; Fabales; Fabaceae. The transcript is spliced from 2 exons. The record is from RefSeq and is a predicted model, not a curated record.